ACGCGGGUCGAGAUCGCCAGGUUGGAGACGGCUGCUCUCCUCUUCAUCGCCCUUUUCUCGAACCCCAUCGCUCUUGGAUCUAUCUCCUCCUCCUCUUGUUCUUCUAAUCUCUUCUUCUUCCUCCUCGCCAGUAUCAUCUUCAUCUUGAUCCUGCAUUCUUCUUCUUCUUCUUCUUCUUCUUCUUCUUCUCCAUAUCAAGAUCCCGGUUCUUUUCGAGUAGGAUCCUGUCGGCGUAGAUCUUUAGCCCCCAUCGAGGCUGAUGGAACAGGACGACGGCGAGGCGGUGACGUCCAACGGGAGAUCAGGGAAUCCUCCUCAUCUCCUCCUCCUCUCGGGUCGAUCGCUCCCCGUAAACCUAGGAACCCUUCUUCCCUUAAUCCAUGUCCUCCUCCUCUGAUCGGGGUCCUGCCGUUGUCUUUAAAGAUGCCUUCAGUGGUGGUAGGCGCACCCCGAUCGGAACUGCUAGACAAGCCGGUGAUGGCCGACGAGGAGACCGGCGAAUCCUCCUCCUCUUAGAUUGCUUUCGGAGGUGGUAGCGCACCCGAUCGAGGCUACUGUAACACAACGACAACGAGUCGGUCGCUCCCCGUAAACCUAGUAACCCUUAACCCCUUGAUCCACCACCUCCUCGUCCUCUCCCGAUCGGGAUCUCCGUUCUUUUCUUUCAAGAUCCUUCCAGCGGUGGUAGCACACCCCGAUGAUUACUGCUCGAACUCGACGACGACCAGCUGGGAUUGGGUAGCGAUGGCCCAGAAGAAGAGUGGUCGGUCCUCUCCUCUUUGAUCUGUUUCCAGGCCUGUUACAAAUUCCAUGACCGAUUUGAUCUCUUCCUCCUUUCUUAUUGUUGUCCCUAACAAUCUUUAGAUCUUAAGAACAUGUAGUUUCUCUCUUGGUUUUGAUGCAGAUCUCUUGUAGACUGUUCUCGUUUAUGUGAGAUUGUGAAAUUACAGGAACAAGGUUCGUUUGUAUAUGAAUGGGAAGUCUGGCGCUGGUUAUCACCUCUGGUUCUUCUACUAACAACGAAGAAUCUUUACCUUCAAUAAGAUUAGACAAGAUUCAUAUUAGGGAUUUUGUGAGAUUAGAUAUAUGGUCAUGUUUAGUCUUUGAUAACCCUUAAGGCGUGGGAUACGGCAAACAACCCUAGCGCAAGUUAGGUACCAUAAGUUCUUGGGUAAGGGGAAAAAUGGUAGGAGUUUAUUAGGGUCUAGCGGUGAAUUUUUUUAUUGGACUCGGCAGCACCAUCUUCAACUUUCUUGUGGCUUGAGUAUGCCACAUUUUACUGAAACUAGGAAAAUGUAGUCUACUCAAACUAUUCUGCUCUAAUAUUUAUUAUAUUGGAUUCCUUUGAUUUUUUUAUGUGCUGAAAUUGUUGUGUGGUAAUUGAAAAUGUUCAAGUGUCAAGAUGGAAAAAACUCACUUAAGACAUGGUACUUCUUUUGUUUUCUAAAUGGAUGAUGUUCUGCUAGGAACUAUGCACAUACAGUUAAGAGAAUUUAUUCAAUCUAGCUUCUUUGUGCAUGCUAAAUCUGUCUUCCCAUUUUCAUUCUGUUUUGGCAGUGGCUGAAUUUUUCAUUAUGUUGUAGUCUUAUGUUUGACUUCUUCAAGCGCUUACUACUGGAACACUAAUCUUUAGCAUAUAUCUUAAUACCUUGAGAUGUAAACACUGUUAUGAAAUCUUUAUGCAUUAUGCUUAUUGCCCAGUUUUUAUCAAUAAUUUUGGGUACUUUUUCUUUAUGGUAAAUUUCACGGGUGGUUUUUCAUGGAAUCUCUUGGUUAUGUAUUUAUACACAAAAUUGCAUUUCAUUAACUGAUUUUUCACUUCUUUAAUUUUUCCCAAGGUUCAUAAAUUUUCAGGUAGUUUCUCGGUUAGUGCUUGUUUAUAGUGCUUUUUUUAAUGUAUAACUAUCCUUAUAAAGUUUGAAGCUAGUAUGUCUAUCUUGCGAGCAUUAAUAUAACAUAUCUGUGCCUCCAAAUAUUAAGAUGCUUUAGAUGUACCCUUCCCAUUAACAUCCACUUGAAAAUCUCAGGUUAACUGCUUUUGAUAUGUGAUUAACAUUACCUAGUUUGAAUUAGAAUAUAUAUAAAAGAUACCUUGAGAGAUGUUAAAUAAAAUUUGAACUAACAAUCGUAAGACAAUCUGUUAAUGGCGAUUAACUACAAGGAUACAUGGGCAAGUUUUUUUGGUUUUGUAAUGAAAAAGAGGCCUAAAAUUAAAUUUAAAGUAAUUGACUUUUGAAGGAUAUGUAUAACUUUACCACCUUUUCUUAUAUUUUUUGUCAAAUGAUGAGAGAG
Molecule: long non-coding RNA, 2292 nt
Organism: Musa acuminata subsp. malaccensis (wild Malaysian banana)
Lineage: Eukaryota; Viridiplantae; Streptophyta; Magnoliopsida; Zingiberales; Musaceae
Source: RefSeq, a predicted model, not a curated record